RNAcentral lists this unclassified non-coding RNA (4108 nucleotides) under Apis dorsata (giant honeybee). RNAcentral's name for it is "uncharacterized LOC102671131, transcript variant X4". Lineage: Eukaryota; Metazoa; Arthropoda; Insecta; Hymenoptera; Apidae. The record is from RNAcentral.
UAGAGUAUUCAGUAAUGCUUUGACCAGCUAGUCAGUGGACUUGUUGGUGAGAGUCGGUCGUUUACUCGAAGUGAUCGUGUGGUGUUACUUGACCAGAUAGUCAGGCGGUAUUCUAAAACACGACGUACAAGCAAACAGCGACAAAUACAGCUACAAACGUGAGUGCAUUUCGUGAGACUGUGAGAAAGAAAACGAACAGAGCGUUUCACGGAGCGCACACCGACGGUGGAGCUUCGAUUUCACGUACUGUUUUUUCACUGAAAACAAAAAACCAUAGCGCUAUACUGUGUAUGGUACACGAGCGAUCCAAGAUGCUGUCGUCAGUGCCAGCGAAAUAAUAAUGUGGUGCGACGUUAGUCAGACACCGGGUUCAAUGCUUCGAUUUCUAUUUUUGCCAGUCGACGGAUUGUGCGGUUUCCGCGGGGCAACGGAGAGGAGGAUAGAGUUGUGCAAUGAUGGGUCUGCAGGCCACGGCAGGGAAACGUAAACUGGAGGGAGGUGUGGGCUGCAUGGAGUUCGACAUGGAUAUGGGCGAAAGCCCAUCGAAGUUAGGCCGAGUGGAGGGUAGCUGGUGGGCGAUGGAGGAUAGUUACACGCCCCCGCUUAGCCAAACACCAGCUUCUUAUUACGAUAUGGAAGUGAGUCCGCCUUGCCUGCAGACAAAUCCUUGUCAACCAACAUCGACGAGUCCUCAACAACAGCAGCAACAACAGCAACAUCAAACGGCACAGCAACAACAGCAACAAUCAUCGACGCCAACAUCAGCGCCUCCACCGUCUACGGUGGCGCACCUACACCAUCAUCCGCAGCACUACUAUCACCAUCAACGCGGACCUACUAGUCCGGUCGGUAAUAAUGGUUACAGUCAACUGUCGAGGCCUCAGCCGCAAUGGGGAGCGCCUCAUCAUUAUGAACCUCCAACGAUACGGCGAGAAGAAAACGGAAAAAGUUAUUUGGAGCUUGGAUCUAGUUAUCGAGCAAAUGAUAGAUGCUGCGAAGGUUCGAGGUCAAGUUGGUGUCGACGUGGCAGAGCGUGUUAUAGACAAAGACGACUAGCCGUAUUAAAUAUUUCAAUGUGCAAGCUGGCGAGGUAUCGCCAAUUUCCGGAUCCGAGCCUUCAUCGAUCGGUUCUCAUCUGCAAUACAUUGAGGCAUCUAGAACGCGAAAUGGAGAGGGACAGAAGUCCACCGCCCAUGGAGCCAGUUAUACCAGCACCUAUUGCUCAACUUCAACCUCCUGAGCAGGGCAGGUUAACGCCAUUUCCAAUGCCACCAACGUCUUCAAACGAGACAGACGUCGAUUCUGGUAUCGGUGAUAGCGAUGAUAGUCGUUCGAUUAACUGGGGCAGUGUGCUAUCUCUUUCGAGUCAGUCGCCUUUAGAUCCCCUAAACAACAACGAGUUACUGGAUGUCGAUAUUGGUCCGGAUCUAGAUUUAGACUUCAUGCCUGGAUGGAAAUUGACACCUCUAUCUGCGGACGAUAUUCUUAGGAGUACAACGGCGCAAGAACAGCAACAUCAGCAACAUCAUCAUCAUCAGCAACAGCAACAGCAUCUGGUGUCAACCAGCGGUAGCUGUGCCAAUAGCAAUGUGGCCAGUGCCUGCGUUAGUACUGGAAGUAGCAGUAGUACGCACGAAUCGUUAAUGUGCGUUGGAUCAUAGCCCCCAAUUUUGACAUCGUUGAGUCAUCUCAUCGAUUUUUACCCACUGAUGCCGCAGAGCAAAUAAGUAUGCGGCAUUUACAAAGAACCACAAAUCAAGAUGUAGAGACGACGCAGUCGCCCGCCUCACGAAUUAUUUGCAACGCCUGGACGGCGAUUCUCCAGGAGGUCUUCUUUUUCUUAUUUAUUACCAUUCGUGUCAAUUACGCACCGAUCGAUUAUCUCGGUUACGUUCUACUUCGUAUUACACCGGUAACCAGCAUGGGUGGUCUACUCCUUAUGGGCGAGGAGGUAUGAGACGUGAUACCUCCUGUGUUCGCAGGUGCAACUGGUGCAGAAUUCAUGGCCCAUUGGAAAUAUUUAAAAUUCAAAGGAAAUAGAGUUAACGAACAACGCGAGAUCGGGUCCUCCUCCGGAUCAUCAUCAACGACCACCUCAAAACGAGCCUGGUUAUACUAUAUCGAAACGAUCUGUUUUUGCAGCUGCACCUGCGAAUUCAGCGGCACAUGUAUGAGUUCCCGAGUCGCUCGAAAUGUCGCCACCGGCACGUCAGACAGAAAGAAAUAGAAUGAGAGAAUGAAAAAAGAGGGAGAAAAGGGGGGAAAGAGAGCGAGAGAAAUAGAGUGAGAGAGCGACAGGGAAAAAGAGAGAAAGUGAAAAGAGCUCAAUGUUCACGCCCCCGGGCCGGCGAUACGGUAGGACAAGUACCUACAGGACUUAUGUAGCCUUCUCCUUCGACUCUUUAAAACAACGAUGACAAACGGCACGGUACUUCGACAGACUGGAAAAAAAAAAUCUCUUCUUCUUUCUACAUUUCUUGAUUUUCUUCUAAUUUUUUUUAUUUUUUUUAUUUUUCCUUUUUUUUUUUUUUUUUACAAUUGAUUCGAACAGCGCGAUAUCGCUUGCCUAGCUGGCUGACGUUGAGAACUCUUCGGCGAUGCCUUUGGCGUCGUUUGCGACAGCCAAUCGAAAAGGGAGUGUCCAUCAUCAUCGAUCGCUGUUUUCUCUUUGGAUUAGAAAGACUAUCCAGGCGACGAUUAAUUAAUGCCAUACACUGUAACACACUAACGAUACAUUACACGCGUAAGACAUAACCGCCGUGGCCUAUACCGUACACUGAUAAAUACAUACACAUACACACGCGCGUAUACACCCACAUAUAAAUAUACAUACAUAUGUAUAUGUACAUCAGACAGAUAUACAGGUUCGUACACAGAAAAGUCGAUAUAUGGUGCUAGGACGAUCACACCCUGGUGCUUAAUUCUGUACACACAGAGCCAUGUGCGUAAAUUCGCACGGAUCGCCUGCAGCCUUCGUCGAGGAGUCUAGAUACGUCCUGACGUCGUGAACAGAACAUAGAUGGUCGAACAUAUUUCCAUUGUGUGAUAUCCGAUACGAAGCGAAAUUAAUUAUAGUAGCAUCAAUAUCGUUCCUGGAUUCUCGAAGGCUUUCGACGAUUAUUAAGGGAAUAUCAUAUGCCGAUGGAUGGAGAUAUGUUGUAGUGAAAAUGCGUACUAUGUUCUGACGCACGAUGCUAACAAAUGUACCUGCAUUUUAGAGAUCGGGAUAAAUAUCGGUUCCUUCGUAUCAUCGCACGUAGGCCACUGCGCGCCACUGAUCUCCCGUUAAUAAUAUGUACCAUAAUACUAUUGUAAAAUAGAGUGGCCGACGAGCAAAGAACGAAGGGAGCCAAUAAUUCACUUGGGGUGUGGAACGGAGAGAUUAUUAAGAGAGAAGAAAAAAAAAAAAAAUAAUAAAAUAAAACUCGACGAUACGCACUUCGCGAAGAGGAAUGGCGAUCCGCGCGCGAUCUCGUCCUCAACGUCCACUAACUGAACUCAAAAGAGCAGCUAUACUUAAAUCGAAAUUAAGCGUUGUAAAGCGGAUUUAAAAACGAACGAUAAAGCGAUAUACAAUAAUUUAUAAAUCGACUGAUUACUUGUGUGAGGGAAUGAAAAAAGAUAGGAAAAAAAGAAAAAACAAGAAAGAAAGAAACGAAAAAAAGAAAACUCUACUGGUAACGUUUCACGAGUUGAUUUAAAACUGUAAUUAAUUCAAUAUUAAGCCGACAUAUACAUUAACACGAGACACCAUACAAAAAAAUCCAUUCGUAACAUACGAUAUUUGUAUACAGAAAUACAAAAAACACGAAAUGUACAUGUUUAUACAUGAAAUACAUUAGAUACUUCGAUGUAUAUAGAUACACACUACGUACUAAGUCUAAUAAUUGUUAACGCGAACUCAAGUGAAUUCUCGGCAGUUUUCAUUUUUUCGUUCUUGUUUUCUAUUUUUUUUUCUCUCUUUUUUUCAAUUGUUCAUGUUAAAAAUUUUUAAUUUUCUGAUUUUUAUUCUAUUGUCAUCUUAUAUUCGAUUCAAUGUUGAUUUAUGCCACACUAAUCGUCUCAUCUCUAUUUCGUUCAUUAGUUCCUCUCUCAUUUUGUACAAAAA